Molecule: long non-coding RNA, 628 nt
Organism: Syngnathus typhle (broad-nosed pipefish)
Lineage: Eukaryota; Metazoa; Chordata; Actinopteri; Syngnathiformes; Syngnathidae
Exons: 3
Source: RefSeq, a predicted model, not a curated record
CGAUUCCCCCCAACUUGCCCAGGGAGCGGGUGUCCAAGCUGGCUGCGCCGGAGACGAGGCUGCACACGACCAGCGGCAGGAUGAUCAUCUUCAGCAUGCGGAGGAGCAUCUCACCCGGGAAGGCAAACACAGAGCAGCGUGGGAAGCUUGAUCCGCGUGUGCUCAACUCCAGCGUGGCUUGGACAACGAAGGCUGGAGCCGGCGUGGGGGAUGACGCCUGGCGGUGGGAGCCAAUCGUGUUGAGGGAAACAUGCGCACUAGUAUGCAGACCCUAGCCCGCACAUGAUGCAAGAUGAUGAAAGACAGACUGUCCCUCCCAUCCCCUCACAGCUGUGGCCUAAAUGCUGGAAAUAACCAGCAGCCCUGCGGAACAGAAGUCAUGACUGUCCAACAGUGGCAGCAAAUGUUGGUGCUGUGCCAGUGUCAACGAGAAGAGAAGACAAACAGAGUGGAAGACAUAGCAAAAGGAUCAGCUUUCUUCUGCAGAGAGUCAGUGUGAUAUCCAGACACUUAAGAUUUGGUGCAAAGACAAACAGACAGCCGUGCAGUGCUGUCACAAUCCAAUAUUAUUAGAAUAGAUUAUUAUAUUGAUUAUUCCAUUGAUUAAUCAAAUAAAAGGACAAGAGGA